Molecule: ribosomal RNA, 670 nt
Filed under: Sordariomycetes sp.
Lineage: Eukaryota; Fungi; Ascomycota; Sordariomycetes
Description: eukaryotic LSU rRNA
Rfam family: Eukaryotic large subunit ribosomal RNA (bases 106-670)
Source: RNAcentral
UCAAAUAUAGUGGCGGAGCUAGGUCGUGCUCUAAGCGUAGUAACCAAAUUCUCGCUUCUGAAGCCGGCCCGGGUCCUGCCGUAAAACCCCCUAUAUUUUUCUGGUUGACCUCGGAUCAGGUAGGAAUACCCGCUGAACUUAAGCAUAUCAAUAAGCGGAGGAAAAGAAACCAACAGGGAUUGCCCUAGUAACGGCGAGUGAAGCGGCAACAGCUCAAAUUUGAAAUCUGGCCUUCGGGUCCGAGUUGUAAUUUGCAGAGGAUGCUUUUGGCGCGGUGCCUUCCGAGUUCCCUGGAACGGGACGCCUUAGAGGGUGAGAGCCCCGUACGGUUGGACACCAAGCCUCUGUAAAGCUCCUUCGACGAGUCGAGUAGUUUGGGAAUGCUGCUCUAAAUGGGAGGUAAAUUUCUUCUAAAGCUAAAUACCGGCCAGAGACCGAUAGCGCACAAGUAGAGUGAUCGAAAGAUGAAAAGCACUUUGAAAAGAGGGUUAAAUAGCACGUGAAAUUGUUGAAAGGGAAGCGUUUACGGCCAGACCUUUUCCUGGCGGAUCAUCUGGUGUUCUCACCAGUGCACUUCGCCAGGUUUAGGCCAGCAUCGGCUUCUGUAGGGGGAUAAAAGCAGUGGGAAAGUAGCUCCCUCGGGAGUGUUAUAGCCCUAAGCAUAAUACCC